Long non-coding RNA from Lynx canadensis (Canada lynx), 184 nucleotides. RefSeq lists it as uncharacterized. The transcript has 3 exons. The record is from RefSeq and is a predicted model, not a curated record. Lineage: Eukaryota; Metazoa; Chordata; Mammalia; Carnivora; Felidae.
CAAUUUUUAAAAUUAAAGUUAAAGCAAAUUUUGAAACCUUUAGCUUCAAUAAGAUUUCAGAAUUAAACCUUAAAAAUAAAGAAAUCUAUUCCCUGCCUAAUCAUACACACACUAUUCUAAAUACCUUUUACUUUACUCAUGCAUUAUCUAAGUAUCUCAUCAAAUGCCAGAGAUCGGGAGAGCA